Molecule: ribosomal RNA, 395 nt
Filed under: uncultured bacterium
Lineage: Bacteria
Description: partial 16S ribosomal RNA
Rfam family: Bacterial small subunit ribosomal RNA
Source: RNAcentral
AUACGUAGGGUGCAAGCGUUAAUCGGAAUUACUGGGCGUAAAGCGUGCGCAGGCGGUUUUGUAAGACAGUGGUGAAAUCCCCGGGCUCAACCUGGGAACUGCCAUUGUGACUGCAAGGCUGGAGUGCGGCAGAGGGGGAUGGAAUUCCGCGUGUAGCAGUGAAAUGCGUAGAUAUGCGGAGGAAAACCGAUGGCGAAGGCAAUCCCCUGGGCCUGCACUGACGCUAAUGCACGAAAGCGUGGGGAGCAAACAGGAUUAGAUACCCUGGUAGUCCCCGCCCUAAACGAUGUCAACUGGUUGUUGGGGAUUUAUUUUCUCAGUAACGAAGCUAACGCGUGAAGUUGACCGCCUGGGGAGUACGGCCGCAAGGUUAAAACUCAAAGGAAUUGACGGGG